AGAACUUAGCAGAGAUGCUUUGGUGCCUUCGGGAACUCUGAGACAGGUGCUGCAUGGCUGUCGUCAGCUCGUGUUGUGAAAUGUUGGGUUAAGUCCCGCAACGAGCGCAACCCUUAUCCUUUGUUGCCAGCGGCUCGGCCGGGAACUCAAAGGAGACUGCCGGUGAUAAACCGGAGGAAGGUGGGGAUGACGUCAAGUCAUCAUGGCCUUACGGCCAGGGCUACACACGUGCUACAAUGGCGCAUACAAAGAGAAGCGACCUCGCGAGAGCAAGCGGACCUCAUAAAGUGCGUCGUAGUCCGGAUUGGAGUCUGCGACUCGACUCCAUGAAGUCGGAUUCGCUAGUAAUCGUAGAUCAGAAUGCUACGGUGAAUACGUUCCCGGGCCUUGUGCACACCGCCCGUCACACCAUGGGAGUGGGUUGCAAAAGAAGUAGGUAGCUUAACCUUCGGGAGGGCGCUUACCACUUUGUGAUUCAUGACUGGGGUGAAGUCGUAACAAGGUAAGCGUAGCGAG
RNAcentral lists this ribosomal RNA (516 nucleotides) under uncultured bacterium. RNAcentral's name for it is "bacterial SSU rRNA". It matches the Rfam family "Bacterial small subunit ribosomal RNA", at positions 992 to 1509 of the family's 1533-position model. The record is from RNAcentral.